AGUACAGACGUAGUUUGAUCAUGGCUACAGAACGAACGCUGGCGGCACGCCUAACACAUGCAAGUCGAACGAAGGCUUCGGCCUUAGUGGCGCACGGGUGCGUAACGCGUGGGAAUCUGCCCUUGGGUUCGGAAUAACUCAGAGAAAUUUGAGCUAAUACCGAAUGAUGUCGAAAGACCAAAGAUUUAUCGCCCAAGGAUAAGCCCGCGUAGGAUUAGCUUGUUGGUGAGGUAAAGGCUCACCAAGGCGACGAUCCUUAGCUGGUCUGAGAGGAUGAUCAGCCACACUGGGACUGAGACACGGCCCAGACUCCUACGGGAGGCAGCAGUGGGGAAUAUUGGACAAUGGGCGAAAGCCUGAUCCAGCAAUGCCGCGUGAGUGAUGAAGGCCUUAGGGUUGUAAAGCUCUUUUACCAGGGAUGAUAAUGACAGUACCUGGAGAAUAAGCUCCGGCUAACUCCGUG
This 463-nucleotide ribosomal RNA is filed under the name uncultured bacterium. Its description in RNAcentral is "bacterial SSU rRNA". It matches the Rfam family "Bacterial small subunit ribosomal RNA", at positions 1 to 507 of the family's 1533-position model. The record is from RNAcentral.